Long non-coding RNA from Sebastes umbrosus (honeycomb rockfish), 248 nucleotides. RefSeq lists it as uncharacterized. The record is from RefSeq and is a predicted model, not a curated record. The transcript has 3 exons. Lineage: Eukaryota; Metazoa; Chordata; Actinopteri; Perciformes; Sebastidae.
UCCUGAUACCUCUCACAUGUCAGUAUCAGCACAAACCGAUGCGACCCUCCACCACCCCAUCACCUCCAGAUUCAUCACAUCAGAGCAAUCCUGCUCCAUUUCAUUCAUCGGAUCUGCAUCAAUCUUCACUACCACCAUCACCAGUGUCUAAACCCGGGGGAAUAAUCCUAAAUCCUACUACGGCAUCACUUCCCCCUUAUCAUGUCACAUUGGGUCUAAAUCACCAAAGACUGUUACUAUUCAUAAUU